GGGGAAGUGUGUAUAUUACUUGAUAAUGAAAUGUUUUGCAUGGCAUUUUGGACCAUAUCAAAUCUUUUUCAAAAAGGCUUAAGAUAGUUAGGAAUAAUAUUGUCAUUUAUACCAAAACAUUAUUCUAUAUUUUCUGUACUUGGAAGCAGUGUUGUCGUCAGAGAAGACCACAAGGGAUAGAGAAAUCAAGUGCAUUUUCCCAGAGAAACAAGGUAUUGAAAUGCACGAACUAUUUCCAGGGAGAACUAAGAAGUCACAUUACACAGGACAUUUUUCUUUGUCACUGGAAGAUAAUGAAGUUUGAAGUUCUCAAAUUGUUGAAGAGUAGUUUUUUGGUUGAAGAGUAUGUUUCUGACACUCACUUCACUUUAAUCUUUUCCUUUAGAAGUUCCAAAAGUCAAUCAUUAUUUUCUUUUUAUUCCAACAUUUUUUAUAAUUAUUUUUGCCCUAUAAUGUUGCUAAGUUUUAUGAGUAUAGCACAAUGAAGGACAAAUGUCUGCAUUUCAUACCUUUGUUUCCACGAGUUAUAAAUUCCUGCUGCUUGCAAGAAGGAGCCUAAAAGAAUGAUAGUAGCCAAAUACCAUUCCAGAAAGCACCCUUCUGCAGUUUAAUUUUCUUUUACAGAAGUUGCUUUUCCUCGUUAGAUGUACAUUGGCCAAGGGAUUUUUUUUUUUUAAAGAUUUUAUUUAUUUAUUUGACAGAGAGAGAGAGAGAGAUCACAGGCAGGCAGGGAAGGCUGGGGGAAGCAGGCUCCCUGUUGAGUGGAGAGCCCAAUGUGGGGCUCAAUCCCAGGACCCUGAGAUCAUGACCUGAGCUGAAGGCAGAGUCUUAACCCACUGAGCCACCCAGGGGCCUCAGGGCCAAGGGAUUUUAAAAGUAAAAAGGUGUACUUCAG
Molecule: long non-coding RNA, 895 nt
Filed under: Mustela putorius furo (domestic ferret)
Lineage: Eukaryota; Metazoa; Chordata; Mammalia; Carnivora; Mustelidae
Description: lncRNA (ENSMPUG00000030244.1)
Source: RNAcentral